This 445-nucleotide ribosomal RNA is filed under the name uncultured bacterium. RNAcentral's name for it is "partial 16S ribosomal RNA". It matches the Rfam family "Bacterial small subunit ribosomal RNA", at positions 354 to 796 of the family's 1533-position model. The record is from RNAcentral.
GUGAGGAAUAUUGGUCAAUGGGCGGGAGCCUGAACCAGCCAAGUCGCGUGAAGGAAGAAGGAUCUAUGGUUCGUAAACUUCUUUUGCAGGGGAAUAAAGUGCAGGACGUGUCCUGUUUUGUAUGUACCCUGAGAAUAAGGAUCGGCUAAUUCCGUGCCAGCAGCCGCGGUAAUACGGAAGGUCCAGGCGUUAUCCGGAUUUAUUGGGUUUAAAGGGAGCGUAGGUGGUUUGAUAAGUCAGCGGUGAAAGUUUGCAGCUUAACUGUAAAAAUGCCGUUGAAACUGUCGGACUUGAGUGUAAAUGAGGUAGGCGGAAUGCGUGGUGUAGCGGUGAAAUGCAUAGAUAUCACGCAGAACUCCGAUUGCGAAGGCAGCUUACUAAGCUACAACUGACACUGAAGCACGAAAGCGUGGGGAUCAAACAGGAUUAGAUACCCCGGUAGUCC